Non-coding RNA from Cyanistes caeruleus (blue tit), 575 nucleotides. The record is from RefSeq and is a predicted model, not a curated record. Lineage: Eukaryota; Metazoa; Chordata; Aves; Passeriformes; Paridae.
AGUCACAGAGGCAACAUCUGACUUGAGCUGUCUGGCUGAGAAGGGUCAGACAUUUGCAGUGUAGUUUGCAGGCAUUAGUGCAAGUCUCAAAUGAAGGCUUAAUUUCAAAAGUUCUCCUGCAGCUUCUUGUCAGAGAGAAUUAGCCUACGUGGCUAGAAUCCAGAUGUGCACAGCUAUCAGCUGCUUGAAAGCAUGGAAGUUCAAGAUGAGUGCAAUGCCAGUCAUUCCUUUGCCAUACUGAGAGUCCCUCCUGUCAGGUUACUAACAUGAAACCAACUUCACAGCAGUACUUAUGUUCAGAUUUGUUGCUGUCAAGAAAAAGGCAAGUUUUACCUCAAAUCUUUCAAAAACAGGAACUUUAAAACAACAACCAAACUUCCAGAGAAAUUUUCUUUAAAUGUUAAGUAUUUUACCCAGUUUUCUGUUUGGUGUUUUUUCAGAUGUGCUUCCUUGCUGUUUUUUAAAGCAUAAAGGAUACAAACCUGAAGAUAUUAAACUUCAAGGUAGAAAGGGCAGAUAAUUAGAAGCUUCUGAUCACUUGAGACAUUAAAAUGGACAUUGCUGUGCAAACACGA